GCGGCAGGCCUAACACAUGCAAGUCGAGCGGCAGCAUAGCCGUAGCAAUACGAUGGGUGGCGAGCGGCGGACGGGUGAGGAACACAUCGGAAUCUACCCUGUCGUGGGGGACAACGUAGGGAAACUUACGCUAAUACCGCAUACGACCUUUGGGUGAAAGCGGGGGACCCGCAAGGGCCCCGCGCGAUUGGAUGAGCCGAUGUCCGAUUAGCUAGUUGGCGGGGUAAUGGCCCACCAAGGCGACGGUCGGUAGCUGGUCUGAGAGGACGACCAGNCACACUGGAACUGAGACACGGUCCAGACUCCUACGGGAGGCNGCAGUGGGGAAUAUUGGACAAUGGGGGCAACCCUGAUCCAGCCAUGCCGCGUGGGUGAANAAGGCCUUCGGGUUGUAAAGCCCUUU
RNAcentral lists this ribosomal RNA (403 nucleotides) under uncultured Gammaproteobacteria bacterium. RNAcentral's name for it is "bacterial SSU rRNA". It matches the Rfam family "Bacterial small subunit ribosomal RNA", at positions 39 to 436 of the family's 1533-position model. Lineage: Bacteria; Pseudomonadati; Pseudomonadota; Gammaproteobacteria. The record is from RNAcentral.